This 75-nucleotide transfer RNA is filed under the name Petromyzon marinus (sea lamprey). RNAcentral describes it as "tRNA-Lys (CTT) (tRNA-Lys-CTT-9-1)". It matches the Rfam family "tRNA". Rfam says of the family: Transfer RNA (tRNA) molecules are approximately 80 nucleotides in length. The record is from RNAcentral. Lineage: Eukaryota; Metazoa; Chordata; Hyperoartia; Petromyzontiformes; Petromyzontidae.
GCCCGGUUAGCUCAGUCGGUAGAGCAUCAGAUGUCUUACACCUGAGGGUCCAGGGUUCAAGUCCCUGACUGGGCG